AUGAUGAGACCUGCACUUGCUGCAAUUAGUUGGUAAAAAAUACCAAAACUAAAAUAUUGUUUCAACUUUCAUUCUUUGCUGGUACCAUAACAAGAGAAUCUGCCUACAAAACUUUAUACUUUUUACCUGUAUUGCCUAUCUACAAAACUGGAUGCGCGGCUUUCUGAWAWSWGUUUCAAGAAUGGAUGCACUUGAAAGACCUCUAAAUGUGAGGAAACACUGCGAAAUUAGUCAAAAAUACACAAAUAGUCUCUGUCCUGACUGCAAAUGUUGUCACAUGGUAGAAAUCUUCUGUAGAAUCCAUGGGAUCAUCCAGGUACUGCUAGUUUUGCGCAGGGUUAUUACCUGCAGGUACAAAUUUGGAUUAUUAGUGGAUUAUAUAAAUUAAUCACAGUAUGAUUUUUUUUUCNCACUUUCUUAAUGGGUUUGUAGUUUGGGUUCAUGAAAAUAAUAUUAAUAGAGCAACCUUGUUUGUAGCUAAAUGCCUAACUACUAGAAAAUUCAUGCAGCACAAACACAAAUCAACUAUGUACCCGAACACGGCGGCUUUAAUAAAAGCUGUGUGUAAAACCAUUGAUCUGAAAGAUAAAAGAACAGGCAGAGGAAGUGCAUAAGUAGAAGAACUUGCCAUACAGGAUCCUGAUCGGAAUGUACAUAGAAACUAGCAGCAACUAUCAGAUAGCAUAGAAACAACAUCAACCCUUUUAAGCAAUUUGAAGUCCCAUCCUGGAAAUUCAGAGAAAAAUAGAAGAGUGAAUUCAUGCAAAAGCAAGACAGAGGUGUCGACGAAUGUUGGUGCAUGAUUUUAGUACCUGCAAUAAAAACGCGACAACCAGCACUGUCAUUAAGAGGCUUGCAGUCUCGAAGAGAUGAAAGUUCAAGUCCAUCGGCUGGCCCAUCAUCCACCC
This 908-nucleotide long non-coding RNA is filed under the name Hordeum vulgare. RNAcentral describes it as "long non-coding RNA (HVUL_LNC002524)". Lineage: Eukaryota; Viridiplantae; Streptophyta; Magnoliopsida; Poales; Poaceae. The record is from RNAcentral.